GGCAUGGCCAAACAGAUAAAUAGACAGAAUUCGCUUUAAAAAAGAAACGUAAAUCCUAGAUGUUCUCAUCACAAGAAAAAAACGUGUUUUUUCCCCUUUUUUCUAUUCUGCAGCUAAUGAGACGAUGGAAAUUCUGUGAUAAUCACUUCAUGAUGUCUGUGAGUCAAACCAUGACACUGUGCGCCUUACACCUACAUGCUGGAUGUCAGAGAUAUCUCCGUGAAACUGGAAGAAAAAAAAUGAGAAGAGUCCUCCGUGGCCGACGUCAGAUUCCCCAGGUCACCAUAGUCUCCGCGUGGAUGGCGCCUGCAGCCCUUGAGAAGCUGAAAACGGGGAUGCGGAGACCUGGUGGAGACCUGGUUUCCUGUGAAGUCGAUUCCGAGCGUGGGAUGGUGGCACGCACUCCAGCUGGGGUGCAGUGGGCUGCAGCCCAUCCCAGAAGGCCUCAGCUCUCCCCACUGGGGUGUUUCAUGGUCUACCUGCGGCAGGUGAGAGACUCAGGCUCAGGCUGUCGCUGUGGGAACAGCUCCCGGGUCGGGGUGGGGGGCUGAGGAAGAAGCUUCCGAGACUGGAGUUUUCCAAGCCCUGCAGAAACGAAUACCUGCAGGUUCAAAGCAACAUCUGGGCACAUUGUGGGCCAUCAUCUACAUGUUUCUGAAGAACAAGCCACCCAGCCCAUCCCCCACGAUGGCCUGUCCUUUCUGUCUACAUGUCACAGAGAAUUCUCCUUCCGGGGAAGACAAGCACUGGAGUCUCGGGAACGGCUUGCUUAGUUCUCCCUGACAUUACAGCUCACUCGUGGGUGACAGAGAAACGGGAAGGGGGAAGGAAGGGUGGCCCGCUCAGAUGACGGUGCCUGCUCAGGCCCUCCAGGCGUGUCCAACUCUCUGCCACCCCAGGGACUGUAGCCCCCAGGCUGCUCUGUCCGUGGGAUUCUCCAGGCAGGAACACUGGGGUGGAUUGCCAUUUCCUCCUCCGGAGGAUCUUCCCAGCCCAGGGAUCGAACCCCGUCUCUUACGUCUGCUGCGUUGGCAAGCGGGUUCUUUAUCACUGCAGCCCCUGGAAAGCCCCAGAUGACGGGAGACCAGUGAAGAAAGUUAAACCAAGCUGAGACGCAGCAGUGACCGCCUGCGGGCCUCACACCCAUGGGGUCCUGGGGGGACAAGCCAGGACACAACAGUGACCGCCUGUGGGCGUCACGCCCGUGGGGUCCUGGGAAGGGACAAGCCGUGGCACAGCAGUGGCCGCCUGCGGGCAUCACGCCCGUGGGGUCCUGGGGGGGACCUCUGUGACCUCAGCCCACAGCUUGCUGCCUUUGGCUGGCGUCACGCCUGUGGGGUCCUGGGGGGGACCUCUGUGACCUCUCCUCAGCCCACAGCUUGCUGCCUUUGGCUGGCAUCCUACUCCUGAGACUUGUCCCCGUCGUCUAGGGUGGCAUUGGCUGUGUGUGUAAUCGCCAUGUGACGACAUCAUCAUUCAUUCGUCGCCUCUCCUCGUGGUGGGCACUGGAGUGAAUGAACAGAGGUUGCAGGCAGCAGUCUGUGGCUGCGGUCUCCAUGUGCCGGAGAAUUUCUCCAGCUCAGACAGGCACAGAGGGAAACGUUGUGUUUAGAUGGUGCUGGAUUUCGCUCUGAGGCUGUGUUUUCUCUUGGCAGCUCCAUAUGCAAGGAUCUGCCUUGUGUUCAUCCUUCAAAACGUCCCCAGCAUCUGGUGCAAAGUGUCAUAGAGCCUUGGUUUGCAUAUCUCCGAUAUGGGUGAGUACAUGAAUGGAUGGAUUUUUUUUUCCUCAAAAUUGGCAUUGAGGUGUCUGCUCAUAUAUUUAUCCUGCCUUUUCAUUGAACGUAUUAUGACAUCUGAUGUUCCUCAAGAGACGAGAUCUUUUAGGCAGAAAGAGUUCAUUUCACGCAGUGAUCACGUGCAUGCGUUGUAUACACUUGGCGCCAACUUCUUGCCAUCCCAAAGAGCCAAUAACCGCUCUGUAGGUUUCUGAAUACUGUGAAUGUUCAUAGACUUUAGAUUCCCAGAAAUGGGCUUGCUAGGUCAAAGCACA
Long non-coding RNA from Capra hircus (goat), 2050 nucleotides. The record is from Ensembl. NCBI's taxonomy places the organism in Eukaryota, Metazoa, Chordata, Mammalia, Artiodactyla, Bovidae.